CAGAACAAAUUGGAAUUGGCAAAAAAUGGAGAGAGAGGCUGUGGAACGAUAAUAGCUAAGGUUCUCAUGAUUGCCAGAAACUGUGGGAGAGCAGAAAAGGAAAAGUCAACAACGAAAUGAAAUGCUUCAAAUCAAGUGUUAUAAAAAAGGAAGCAUAAGCUGGCUGAAGCUGACCUAUUUUAUUUCUCCUCUUAAUUCACUUUUUGCUACAAAAAUUCCAAUAAAAAUGAAGCAGAACACGAAGAAGCAAUAAAUGUUUAUGUAACCGAGUGUGACAUAACAAGGCCACACUGCAGGGGGAGAAGGAGUGGAAGGAAGAGUUGGAUUUCCUGGAAACCUCUGGGCUAUUGAACCUGGGUGAUGUCUGAGAUUCCUUUAGCAUCAUAACACUAAAGUAAGAAAAUCUUCCCAUGUAAAGGAAAGGAUAACUUUUGGGUCUGUACAUGAUCUAGGGAAGGAGAGAGCAGGUAAAGUAAGUUUUCCGUGGAGGUAAGGUUAUAUGAAGGUGUUGCAGAAAUUCCUUGUAAGAGUCUAAAUUUUACUGUG
This is a long non-coding RNA of Chinchilla lanigera (long-tailed chinchilla), 546 nucleotides long. RefSeq lists it as uncharacterized. Lineage: Eukaryota; Metazoa; Chordata; Mammalia; Rodentia; Chinchillidae. The transcript has 3 exons. The record is from RefSeq and is a predicted model, not a curated record.